Long non-coding RNA from Spea bombifrons (plains spadefoot toad), 533 nucleotides. RefSeq lists it as uncharacterized. Lineage: Eukaryota; Metazoa; Chordata; Amphibia; Anura; Pelobatidae. The record is from RefSeq and is a predicted model, not a curated record. The transcript has 2 exons.
AGAUGGAGGCAAAACAAUCAACCAAUGAAGGAGCCAGACCUUACAAGCAACAGCAGCCAGCAUUACCGGAUGACCCAGAAUACAGCCGCGUGAUAACCUUACAAACGCCAUAUAAUGGUGUAAAUACAACAUACAGUAAACACAUACAAUAAAUACACACUCUUACUCGCUGUGCUAUGUGAUACAUUUGUAAUCCUGUCUAUACAUCCAGUUAUUGUAUAUAUAUGUAAAUAUCUCCUUAGUUUCUACAAAAGAUGCCAUACAUACAGUAUAUCCCAAGGUUUCAGGUAUCUAACCCAGGACAUGGUUAUUGGUGAGCGAAGCUACAACCAGGUGAGGCUGGGCUUUAGGUGGGACCAGGGGCACCUUUCAUACCCUUUGCGGGGUAGUAAAGAAAAUUGAUUAUAUAAUCCAACAUAAUAUUAAAAUAAUGAAGAAUACCAUGUAUACAUACAAACUCUUGUCUCUUAUUCCUGUUCCAGCAAAGCCUAAUGUAUUUAAAGUCUAAUGUAUAAUAAAUAUUUUCCACCCCA